Long non-coding RNA from Limulus polyphemus (Atlantic horseshoe crab), 1640 nucleotides. RefSeq lists it as uncharacterized. The transcript has 6 exons. Lineage: Eukaryota; Metazoa; Arthropoda; Merostomata; Xiphosura; Limulidae. The record is from RefSeq and is a predicted model, not a curated record.
GUGAGAGAGGCUAAGAGAAGCAAGGUUGUUGAGGUGGAAAUAGUUCAUUUUGCAGUCGGUGGUAGUUUGUCGUUUAGAUUUGUUACAGUAUCACCUUUGUGCAUAUUCGUAAAAACAAAAUAGCUCUGUGAAAACGUUACCAGGUUUUGGUCAGUAACUACACAAGAACUACUGACAAAAUAGUUUGUGAAACAUCAAUUUUUUUAUUCAGUUGAACAGGCGUUGCUGACCAAGUGAACAGACUGCAGGGGAAGUAAACUUAGCUAGCCUGACUUGACAGUGACUAUAUCGGAGAAAUCCUCAGCAGAGUCACAUCUACGUCGGAAUCCUCAGCAGAGGCACAUCUACGUCGGAACAUUUUAAUCUUCUUUCUACCAGAUACAGAAAAUGGGCAUCCCCCUCAUUCCUGAUUCCGAAGACAAUCAUAUUUCCUUAUCUCAUCACCGGAGGACCUUCAAGGUCACAAGAACGUACAGGGAGCUAGUAAAGAAGAGGGUCCUCAAGCAGGAAAUGCGAGUUUGUAUGAAAAUGCGAAGAAUUCACGAGUAUCGUCGACUUCGAUCCAUGGUGCCAAGCAUCGCUAAAAGGCCACACGUACCCAAGGUAACGGUAAUAGAAGAGGCCAUCCGCUAUAUUGACCACCUUCACAAUGCUCUUCUCAUGAAACUAAGAACACGAGGUUUGCCUUCUUGUCUGCAAGGUGUGAAUAUUGAUAUGAACAAUUUCGGCCACCCUCAACUUCAAGAUCUGGUUCGACAUUUGAUGAAUAAUUCCAAGACUUCCUCUAUAAAUUAUCCUGCGUGUUUUUCAGGAAGUGCCUGCCAAAAAAUCAGAUCUGUACCUUCUUACUUGCUUCGAAAAAGGAAAAAGCAAACGUAAAAACCAGUUGAUUUGAGUGAUUUAGAUAUCGAGAAAAAGGGCAUGCAGGUUCGUCGCUUCCUUCGUUUUUCUCUUGGCAGUCUUACAAUAUCUUCUGUUGGAAUUGGAGUCGCCUGUGUUAAAUCUCUCAGUACGAACAACAUGGGAGUAAUAUGAUCCAGAUAGCGAGGGCACAUCAAUUGUUCCUUACUGUCACUUAUGUUUACCAGUCAGACGAUCUUCUGAACUCUGUUAUCUAUUGUACUCUCAAGUAUAACAUAGAAUUUCAAGUCAGGCGUAACAAGUCAGUAUUGUAUGUAUGAGGUGGCGAAUUUCAACAUCAUCACUGUGAGAAUCUAGUGGUUUUUAGUAUGAAAAGUGGUUUGUAUCAUCCGAGGGUUGUUUUCAUAGUAUACUAUUAAUAAAUUACGGCCUUUUGGAACUUUGGGAAUCCUUAUACAUUUAUUUAUGUAUAGUGUGGAAAAGUUUGUAAUGAGUAACGGAAACCACAUCUGAUGGAAGCGACGAACGACGUGUGCAAAUAUUCGUACAAAGUAACUUCGGUGUACAUACAUAUGUAAAAAAUGUACAUAAGGUAUACAAGAUAUGUUGGAAAUUAGCAUGUUAUGUAAAAAUAUGGUUUGCGGUGUAAAAACCGACGGCUUUAAAAUUCCUGUAAUGAAAGAUGAAAGUUCUAUGUUCAUGAUUUAUAUGUGACACGAUGCUUUUGUAGAACCGUUCUUGAUCAAUAAAUGUUUUUGAUGAAACGAGAAAAAAUCAAA